AAGUAAAAGUCGUAACAAGGUUUCCGUAGGUGAACCUGCGGAAGGAUCAUUAACGAGUUCUGAAAGGGGUUGUAGCUGGCCUUCCGGGGCAUGUGCACACCCUGCUCAUCCACUCUACACCUGUGCACUUACUGUAGGUUUGGCGUGGGCUUCGGGGCCUCCGGGCUCUGAGGCAUUCUGCCGGCCUAUGUAUCACUACAAACACAUAAAGUAACAGAAUGUAUUCGCGUCUAACGCAUCUAAAUACAACUUUCAGCAACGGAUCUCUUGGCUCUCGCAUCGAUGAAGAACGCAGCGAAAUGCGAUAAGUAAUGUGAAUUGCAGAAUUCAGUGAAUCAUCGAAUCUUUGAACGCACCUUGCGCUCCUUGGUAUUCCGAGGAGCAUGCCUGUUUGAGUGUCAUGGAAUUCUCAACCCACACGUCCUUGUGAUGUUGCGGGCUUGGAUUUGGAGGCUUGCUGGCCCUCUGCGGUCGGCUCCUCUUGAAUGCAUUAGCUUGAUUCCGUGCGGAUCGGCUCUCAGUGUGAUAAUYGUCUACGCUGUGACCGUGAAGCGUUUGGCGAGCUUCUAACCGUCCUGUAUGGGACAACUUCUUGACAUCUGACCUCAAAUCAGGUAGGACUACCCGCUGAACUUAAGCAUAUC
RNAcentral lists this ribosomal RNA (644 nucleotides) under Trametes sanguinea. RNAcentral's name for it is "eukaryotic LSU rRNA". The stretch from base 248 to 401 matches the Rfam family "5.8S ribosomal RNA". The record is from RNAcentral. Lineage: Eukaryota; Fungi; Basidiomycota; Agaricomycetes; Polyporales; Polyporaceae.